Molecule: ribosomal RNA, 460 nt
Filed under: Colletotrichum coccodes
Lineage: Eukaryota; Fungi; Ascomycota; Sordariomycetes; Glomerellales; Glomerellaceae
Description: eukaryotic LSU rRNA
Rfam family: 5.8S ribosomal RNA (bases 116-269)
Source: RNAcentral
GGUGCCGCCUGCGGACCCCCCUCCCGGCCCUGCCCUCACGGGCGGAGCGCCCGCCGGAGGAUACCAAACUCUAUUUUAACGACGUUUCUUCUGAGUGGCACAAGCAAAUAAUUAAAACUUUCAACAACGGAUCUCUUGGUUCUGGCAUCGAUGAAGAACGCAGCGAAAUGCGAUAAGUAAUGUGAAUUGCAGAAUUCAGUGAAUCAUCGAAUCUUUGAACGCACAUUGCGCCCGCCAGCAUUCUGGCGGGCAUGCCUGUUCGAGCGUCAUUUCAACCCUCAAGCUCUGCUUGGUGUUGGGGCCCUACGGUUGACGUAGGCCCUUAAAGGUAGUGGCGGACCCUCUCGGAGCCUCCUUUGCGUAGUAACUAACGUCUCGCACUGGGAUUCGGAGGGACUCUUGCCGUAAAACCCCCAAAUUUUUAAAGGUUGACCUCGGAUCAGGUAGGAAUACCCGCUGA